RNAcentral lists this transfer RNA (74 nucleotides) under Cordylochernes scorpioides. Its description in RNAcentral is "tRNA-Asn". Lineage: Eukaryota; Metazoa; Arthropoda; Arachnida; Pseudoscorpiones; Chernetidae. The record is from RNAcentral.
AGUCCCCGGGUUGGCUCGAACCACCAACCUUUCGGUUAACAGCCGAACGCGCUAGCCGAUUGCGCCACGGAGAC